Long non-coding RNA from Cyprinus carpio (common carp), 390 nucleotides. RefSeq lists it as uncharacterized. NCBI's taxonomy places the organism in Eukaryota, Metazoa, Chordata, Actinopteri, Cypriniformes, Cyprinidae. The transcript has 2 exons. The record is from RefSeq and is a predicted model, not a curated record.
CCCCAUGUACAGCUGAUCUCACAUCAGUGGACAGCAAAAUCGCGGCUAUAAUUGGGGAGGUCAGCGUGUGUGGUAUUGUGUCGGAAAAGGAGGGAGACACUGACGUGACUGAAACCACAGAGGAGCAAGUCCUUCCGGAGUCUGAAGCUGUAAAUGAACAGGAGGUUCAGGGUGAGGGGUUCUCAGAUGCAGAUGCACAGCGUCCGGCUCAAAGCAGUGCCCCUUCUGCGUCUGGCACGUCCAAAAGUGGUCGGGUACUCACUGACGCAGUCCUGCAGUUACAGCGAGAGACAAUAAACGCUGUCAACGGGGUUGCAGAUGAGCUACGGCAGAUGAGAGAAGUGAUGCAAGAAAUUGCACAAUCAUUAAAAGAUGCAGUUAAAACAUGAA